Molecule: ribosomal RNA, 392 nt
Filed under: uncultured Gammaproteobacteria bacterium
Lineage: Bacteria; Pseudomonadati; Pseudomonadota; Gammaproteobacteria
Description: bacterial SSU rRNA
Rfam family: Bacterial small subunit ribosomal RNA
Source: RNAcentral
AAUGGGCGCAAGCCUGAUCCAGCCAUGCCGCGUGAGUGAUGAAGGCCCUAGGGUCGUAAAGCUCUUUCGCCAGAGAUGAUAAUGACAGUAUCUGGUAAAGAAACCCCGGCUAACUCCGUGCCAGCAGCCGCGGUAAUACGGAGGGGGUUAGCGUUGUUCGGAAUUACUGGGCGUAAAGCGCACGUAGGCGGAUCAGAAAGUAUAGGGUGAAAUCCCAGGGCUCAACCCUGGAACUGCCUUAUAAACUCCUGGUCUUGAGUUCGAGAGAGGCGAGUGGAAUUCCGAGUGUAGAGGUGAAAUUCGUAGAUAUUCGGAGGAACACCAGUGGCGAAGGCGGCUCACUGGCUCGAUACUGACGCUGAGGUGCGAAAGUGUGGGGAGCAAACAGGAUU